GACAGAGGUGCCGAGCGUUAGGCGGAAUCACUGGGCUUAAAGCGUGUGUAGGCGGAUGCCUAAGUACCUUGUGAAAUCCCACGGCUCAACCGUGGAACUGCUCGGUAUACUGGGUGUCUUGAGCCACUUAGGGGCAACCGGAACAAACGGUGGAGCGGUGAAAUGCGUAGAUAUCGUUUGGAACGCCAAUGGUGAAAACAGGUUGCUGGGAGUGCGCUGACGCUGAGACACGAAAGCCAGGGGAGCAAACGGG
This 253-nucleotide ribosomal RNA is filed under the name uncultured bacterium. RNAcentral describes it as "partial 16S ribosomal RNA". It matches the Rfam family "Bacterial small subunit ribosomal RNA", at positions 524 to 776 of the family's 1533-position model. The record is from RNAcentral.